RNAcentral lists this ribosomal RNA (332 nucleotides) under uncultured bacterium. RNAcentral describes it as "bacterial SSU rRNA". It matches the Rfam family "Bacterial small subunit ribosomal RNA", at positions 568 to 898 of the family's 1533-position model. The record is from RNAcentral.
UGCGCAGGCGGUUCCGCAAGUCAGGCGUGAAAUCCCCGGGCUUAACCUGGGAAUGGCGCUUGAAACUACGGGACUGGAGUAUGGCAGAGGGAGGUGGAAUUCCACGUGUAGCGGUGAAAUGCGUAGAGAUGUGGAGGAACACCGAUGGCGAAGGCAGCCUCCUGGGCCAAUACUGACGCUCAUGCACGAAAGCGUGGGGAGCAAACAGGAUUAGAUACCCUGGUAGUCCACGCCCUAAACGAUGAUGACUAGUUGUUGGAGGAGUUAAAUCCUUUAGUAACGCAGCUAACGCGAGAAGUCAUCCGCCUGGGGAGUACGGUCGCAAGAUUAAA